Molecule: transfer RNA, 76 nt
Filed under: bacterium
Lineage: Bacteria
Description: tRNA-Phe
Rfam family: tRNA
About the family: Transfer RNA (tRNA) molecules are approximately 80 nucleotides in length.
Source: RNAcentral
GCUUGGAUAGCUCAGUUGGUAGAGCGCGCCCCUGAAGAGGGUGAGGUCCCCGGUUCGAGCCCGGGUCCAAGCACCA